RNAcentral lists this ribosomal RNA (512 nucleotides) under uncultured bacterium. RNAcentral's name for it is "partial 16S ribosomal RNA". It matches the Rfam family "Bacterial small subunit ribosomal RNA", at positions 28 to 507 of the family's 1533-position model. The record is from RNAcentral.
GAUGAACGCUGGCGGCGUGCCUAAUACAUGCAAGUCGAACGAAACUUCUUUAUCACCGAGUGCUUGCACUCACCGAUAAAGAGUUGAGUGGCGAACGGGUGAGUAACACGUGGGCAACCUGCCCAAAAGAGGGGGAUAACACUUGGAAACAGGUGCUAAUGCCGCAUAACCAUAGUUACCGCAUGGUAACUAUGUAAAAGGUGGCUAUACUACCGCUUUUGGAUGGGCCCGCGGCGCAUUAGCUAGUUGGUAGGGUAAAGGCUUACCAAGGCAAUGAUGCGUAGCCGAAUUGAGAGGUUGAUCGGCCACAUUGGGACUGAGACACGGCCCAAACUCCUACGGGAGGCAGCAGUAGGGAAUCUUCCACAAUGGGCGAAAGCCUGAUGGAGCAACGCCGCGUGGGUGAAGAAGGUCUUCGGAUCGUAAAACCCUGUUGUUAGAGAAGAAAGUGCGUGAGAGUAACUGUUCACGUUUCGACGGUAUCUAACCAGAAAGCCACGGCUAACUACGUG